AUGGCGUUCCUGCUGCGAGACGCGCAGGGUGACGGCAAUGUCAGCCCCCGCUUGGCUUCGUUGGGUGAAACGGCUCCUGCUCACGCUGCCUGUCACUUCCCUCCCAGGGAAGGCUGUUACAAACAGCAGCUCUCCGUGCUGCGCGGAGGCCGGGUUUCUUCGGGGGCCAAGGCUGCGGGAGGGUGGGCUUGGAUGGCGCAUGCUGUUCCUCAUCCGGUGGCAGCAGGUGACACAGGUCCUGAGUGCCUGAGCCAGCAAAGCGCUCAGGGCUCCUCCUGGGAAGAAAAGGGAGUGGAAAAGCGUCGGUUCUCGCUCUCUUCCAACGCUCACGUUGCUUGUGUGACCGUGACAGCCUCGUCGUCACCUGGCAGAGAGGAGCCCAGCACCUCGGCUCUGCAGAGCCCAGCGCUGGAUCCCUCCGCACAGGGUGCUCGGGGAGCGCUGUUAAUUGAGGGAAAAAAGCAAGGCCUGGAUUCACGACGGCAGGCGCUGCCCUGCAAGCCCGUGAGCCCCACGCGGCGUUUUUUAGGCGUCCGGCCGCGCGUGGGGCUCGGCCCCGGGGCUGGGGCAGGCACGGUGCUAAGCCAGCUCCUCAUCCCAGCCAGGGCAGCACCCUCUUGGGCGCAAUUCAUUUAAUUGGUGAGUAUACGCUUGUUUUUAUAUUGAUUUUUCCAUUGGCAACCCAAAACUCGGGCGAUUCCCCCCAGUUGUUGUCAUUUAACGCACCGCCUUCCAGGCCACCUUGAGCUGGAAACCCCGGACUUUUGCAACGCCUGGGGAUUUGGCUCAACUUCAUCUUCCUCCAAAGCACCUGUUUCUCCUACUCAAGUCAUGAGCGGGAUCAGGGCUCGGCCCGGCAGCUGACCCUCGAGCCGUGGCGCGGCCACGCUGCGCUGCAGGGCGUCUGCCACAUUUUGAAGACAAAACUGCUUUUUUCAACAGCGUUAAGUUUUAACUCCGCGGCGGAAGCCCCGUUUGAGGCUGGAGCUGUCGUCUACUGCUUGCUGCAUAGGCAAUGAGAGGCGAUUCCUGACAAAAUGGGGGAUACGAGGGCGGGGAAGGGACACUGAGGCGCCGGCGGAGGGAAGGUGACGCGUCAGGUCUCUCUGCUUCCAGGCUGCCCUGAAACUGAAAACAGGUUUUCUGUUUUUUUUGGUUAAUAUCCCAAUCUCCCCCCCAAGAUUUUCUUCCCUCCCACAGAGAGG
Molecule: long non-coding RNA, 1205 nt
Filed under: Struthio camelus australis
Lineage: Eukaryota; Metazoa; Chordata; Aves; Struthioniformes; Struthionidae
Description: lncRNA (ENSSCUG00000000429.1)
Source: RNAcentral